RNAcentral lists this ribosomal RNA (490 nucleotides) under uncultured bacterium. Its description in RNAcentral is "partial 16S ribosomal RNA". It matches the Rfam family "Bacterial small subunit ribosomal RNA", at positions 30 to 507 of the family's 1533-position model. The record is from RNAcentral.
AUUGAACGCUGGCGGCAGGCCUAACACAUGCAAGUCGAACGGUAACAGGAAGAAGCUUGCUUCUUUGCUGACGAGUGGCGGACGGGUGAGUAAUGUCUGGGAAACUGCCUGAUGGAGGGGGAUAACUACUGGAAACGGUAGCUAAUACCGCAUAACGUCGCAAGACCAAAGAGGAGGACCUUCGGGCCUCUUGCCAUCGGAUGUGCCCAGAUGGGAUUAGCUAGUAGGUGGGGUAACGGCUCACCUAGGCGACGAUCCCUAGCUGGUCUGAGAGGAUGACCAGCCACACUGGAACUGAGACACGGUCCAGACUCCUACGGGAGGCAGCAGUGGGGAAUAUUGCACAAUGGGCGAAAGCCUGAUGCAGCCAUGCCGCGUGUAUGAAGAAGGCCUUCGGGUUGUAAAGUACUUUCAGCGGGGAGGAAGGGAGUAAAGUUAAUACCUUUGCUCAUUGACGUUACCCGCAGAAGAAGCACCGGCUAACUCCGUG